RNAcentral lists this ribosomal RNA (257 nucleotides) under uncultured bacterium. Its description in RNAcentral is "partial 16S ribosomal RNA". It matches the Rfam family "Bacterial small subunit ribosomal RNA", at positions 524 to 776 of the family's 1533-position model. The record is from RNAcentral.
GACAUAGGUGGCGAACGUUAUCCGGAAUUAUUGGGCGUAAAGGGUGCGUAGACGGUUUGGUAAGUUAGCAGUGGGAAAUCGAGGCCCAACCUCGUGGAAGUUGUUAAUACUGCCAUACUCGAGUGCAGGAAAGGUUGACGGAACUCAAUGUGGAGCGGUAAAAUGCGUUAGAUAUAUUGAAGAACACCAAUAACAGCGAAGGCAGUUAACUGUUCUGUUACUGACGUUGAGGCACGAAAGCGUGGGGAGCAAAAAGG